RNAcentral lists this long non-coding RNA (541 nucleotides) under Pan troglodytes (chimpanzee). Its description in RNAcentral is "lincRNA". Lineage: Eukaryota; Metazoa; Chordata; Mammalia; Primates; Hominidae. The record is from RNAcentral.
UUUAUAUUUGAAAAAUAAAUCUAGCAUCCUGGUUUUCUCUGGGAAAAUCUUAAAGAUUUGCUAUAACUGAGCCUGCAUUUCCUUAACACAAAUCUGCUGGAGCUGAACAGUUGCUGCUGCUUCCUUUAAACUUGACCUCAAUCACGAAGGUCUUCAUCAACUCACUCAGUGCUUUCAGAUGUACUUAUACCCAGCACAUGCAUUGGCUAUGACCUUGCAGAAUUUGGCAUUAGCAACCUCAAAAACUCUGGAAAAGGCUUCAUUUUCUCCAGUCUCCUGGGAGAGUAGAGGAACCAUGAAGGCAGACCCAUCCAGAGAACACCUGCAACAGGCUGAGAAGCCAUUGGGAGACACACUUCUGAACACCACCAUUGGAAAAUCACACAUGCUGAAAUGGGAGAGUUCCUUGACCCCCUUGCAGGAUAUGUGACAGGGGUGUGGCUCAUCUGUUCGGCUAGAGUGCAUACUCAAACCCCCCUUAUGAGACAAGGAGUAUGCAGACAGAAGGUGCAGGAACUGGGAAGCAAAAUAUAAACUAGUU